CCAACAUGGAUACCCCAAAGGUCACUUUCCCCCGGCUUUGUCCAGGUGGCGCAGGGGAGCAUAAGGCUCUGCCCAGUGAUGGACAGUCCCAUUCCACAAUGUUGGAGAUGAAGCUGGGCCUUGAGCCUGCACCUACAUAAUUCUACAGCUUCUCAAGUCCUAUGGACAAUGCCUGAGGAAACAAACCAUGCAGGAAUCAUAU
This 202-nucleotide small nucleolar RNA is filed under the name Dasypus novemcinctus (nine-banded armadillo). Its description in RNAcentral is "Small nucleolar RNA SNORA73 family (ENSDNOG00000028825.1)". It matches the Rfam family "Small nucleolar RNA SNORA73 family". Rfam says of the family: U17 (SNORA73A and SNORA73B) also known as E1 belongs to the H/ACA class of small nucleolar RNAs (snoRNAs). Vertebrate U17 is intron-encoded and ranges in length from 200-230 nucleotides, longer than most snoRNAs. The record is from RNAcentral. Lineage: Eukaryota; Metazoa; Chordata; Mammalia; Cingulata; Dasypodidae.